RNAcentral lists this ribosomal RNA (545 nucleotides) under uncultured archaeon. Its description in RNAcentral is "bacterial SSU rRNA". It matches the Rfam family "Archaeal small subunit ribosomal RNA", at positions 457 to 997 of the family's 1478-position model. The record is from RNAcentral.
GGCAGCAGCCGCGGUAACACCGGCAGCUCUAGUGGUAGCAAUUUUAUUGGGCCUAAAGCGUCCGUAGCCGGUUUAAUAAGUCUCUGGUGAAAUCCUGCAGCUUAACUGUGGGAAUUGCUGGAGAUACUAUAGACUUGAGACCGGGAGAGGUUAGAGGUACUCCCAGGGUAGAGGUGAAAUUCUGUAAUCCUGGGAGGACCGCCUGUUGCGAAGGCGUCUAACUGGAACGGUUCUGACGGUGAGGGACGAAAGUUAGGGGCGCGAACCGGAUUAGAUACCCGGGUAGUCCUAACUGUAAACGAUGCGGACUUGGUGUUGGGGUGGCUUUGAGCUGCUUCAGUGCCGAAGGGAAGCUGUUAAGUCCGCCGCCGUGGGAAGUACGGUCGCAAGACUAGAAACUUAAAGGAAUUGGCGGGGGAGCACCACAACGCGUGGAGCCUGCGGUUUUAAAUUGGAUUCAACGCCGGACAUCUCACCAGAGGCGACAGCUGUAUGAUAGCCAGGUUGAUGACUUUGCUUGACUAGCUGAGAGGAGUGGUGCAUGG